UACGGAGGGUGCAAGCGUUGUUCGGAAUUACUGGGCGUAAAGCGCGCGUAGGCGGUGAUCUUUGUCAGAGGUGAAAGCCCGGGGCUCAACUCCGGAAUUGCCUUUGAAACGGGAUCGCUAGAGUCCGAGAGAGGGCGGCGGAAUUCCUAGUGUAGAGGUGAAAUUCGCAGAUAUUAGGAAGAACACCGGUGGCGAAGGCGGCCAUCUGGCUCGGUACUGACGCUCAGGCGCGAAAGCGUGGGGAGCAAACAGG
This 253-nucleotide ribosomal RNA is filed under the name uncultured bacterium. RNAcentral's name for it is "partial 16S ribosomal RNA". It matches the Rfam family "Bacterial small subunit ribosomal RNA", at positions 524 to 776 of the family's 1533-position model. The record is from RNAcentral.